This 420-nucleotide ribosomal RNA is filed under the name Creagrutus maxillaris. RNAcentral's name for it is "partial 12S ribosomal RNA". It matches the Rfam family "Bacterial small subunit ribosomal RNA", at positions 774 to 1395 of the family's 1533-position model. The record is from RNAcentral. Lineage: Eukaryota; Metazoa; Chordata; Actinopteri; Characiformes; Stevardiidae.
GGGAUUAGAUACCCCACUAUGCUUAGCCUUAAACCAGAUGUUAAAUUUACAAGCAGCAUCCGCCAGGGUACUACAAGCGCUAGCUUAAAACCCAAAGGACUUGACGGUGUCUCAGACCCACCUAGAGGAGCCUGUUCUAGAACCGAUAAUCCCCGUUUAACCUCACCACCCCUUGUCCAACCCGCCUAUAUACCGCCGUCGCAAGCUUACCCUGUGAAGGUCCCAUAGUAAGCAAAAUGGGUAAAUCCCAAAACGUCAGGUCGAGGUGUAGCUUACGAGGUGGGAAGAAAUGGGCUACAUUUUCUAUACCAGAAUAAUACGAACAGCACCAUGAAAUUUAGUGCUCGAAGGUGGAUUUAGUAGUAAAAAACAAAUAGAGAGUCUUUUUGAACCAGGCUCUGAGACGCGCACACACCGCCC